GUUGAGAACCACUGUCCUAAAGGCACCAGAUUCUGUUUGAUCUUGGAAGCUCAGCAGGGUCAGCCCUGGUUAGUACUUUCGUGGGAGACCACCAGGGAAUAUCAGGCACUGUAGGCU
Molecule: ribosomal RNA, 117 nt
Filed under: Anolis carolinensis (green anole)
Lineage: Eukaryota; Metazoa; Chordata; Lepidosauria; Squamata; Anolidae
Source: RNAcentral